Molecule: long non-coding RNA, 509 nt
Organism: Conger conger (European conger)
Lineage: Eukaryota; Metazoa; Chordata; Actinopteri; Anguilliformes; Congridae
Exons: 2
Source: RefSeq, a predicted model, not a curated record
GAUGAAUGUAUACAAAUGAUUUAAGGUACAAAAGGUAAAUACAGAGUCGUAACAGUCAAGAGAGGAACAAACACCCUCAAACCACAACAUGCACUAUUUUGGACUGCCAGGUGAAAUCCCCACCCUUUGAUGUGCAUCUACUCUUUGCCCAUUUCCACAAAUCAGUCCUGGGUAGGGGGGAAGCCAAGAGCCCCUGCCACAGACUGCUGGGGCCCCAGCCACAAAAAAAGGGAUGUACAACGUGAACACAGCUAAUAGCUAAAUAACCAUCUGUCAGAAUGUUUUUUGCCAUUAAGUCUGCAGUUCCGUUACAUUUUUUAUUUGACUUUAUGUGUAAAAAGCAUUGCAGUUCAUUCUAAGUUUCUGUUUUUCCCAUUUUCUUUGCCAGCAGAUUUUUCUUUCUGACCUUUAUUUGCAUUCCUAAAAACCCAUGAGAAGUUGAGCAUUGAAAAUGAGCGCAAGCGAUCAAAUGAAACAUGACUAAAUAAAUAAAUAAUUUCCUGAUACAA